CUGGUCCUGAGUGGGCUCCCUGUGCCCCUCCCGGCGCGCCCUCGGAGAAGCAUGGAUGUCGGGAGGGUGUCACCCGGUGUCCCGUCCUCCAGGUUGGGAGUGGGGUGGGGUAACAGAGGUGCCGGAAUGGGGAAAGAUGUAAAAUAGUAUUUACAAAGGAAGGGGGGGGGAGUGGGUGACACUUCCUUCACGUAAACCCAGUUUCUGAUUUCAAGCGGAGGCAGAAUCCUUGCCUCUGCGCCCGCGCGCAGGCGCUUCGGCCGGAACCCCCGGCUCCAAGUGCCCACGGGGAAAAGAAAUAAAGCAGAAGAAGAACAGCGAAAGUCAAGGCUGCCGCACGUUUAUUCGGACAAACCCGGGUCUCCCGGCCCUCCACCGCCCCACGCACUCAUCAGCUCCUCUCCGUAAGCUGAGGCCACCUCCUGCAGGGUUCACGAAAGGUUCUUUUCAGUGCCUCCCUGGCUGUCCCAAAAGUCACGCUCCGGGGGCCCCCAGGAGAGCGCUCAGUGGUCCCACCGGACUCUGGGCAGCCGGGGAGGUGGGCACUCACGCCAGCAUGCUCGGGGUCCCGCAGCAGAGCGCCGGCGGCUGUGAGAGCGAGUUUUUUGCCCCGGGACUCGGAGAGGCCGGUAACGCACCCGCACCCAAACACCACCACGGGGUGUGUCCACCCCACAGCCCGGCGGGAGAAACUGCUCCCAACUUCAAGGACCGGAGAAGCUUGGGAAGGAGGCCGGCGCUGACACGAGGGCUCCCAAACUGUACCCGCUUACAGUUUCCAAAGCAUUUUCAUGGAUCGGCGUGAUCGGAUUCGCCCCGUUUGCGCCUCGCACCCCAGCGGAGCCACUCUCUGGCCUAAUCGCCUCAUUAGCAUAUCAACAACAGUCCAAUUGCUAGCCAGGACCACGGUCUGCCGCCGGCCGCUCCGAUCCAGGUAUAAAGGCCUCCUCAGGCCGCGAACCCGCUCCCACAGCGCGGGCCAGCGCCAGCCUGCUCGCCGGAGCGCUCUGCCCGGGGCUCCAGCGGCCCCUAUCCCGGCCCGACUCCAUCCCCUUCCCCGUUCGCUAGUUUCCGGAUCCCGUCAGCCGAAGACACCUCGGAGUAAAGCUCUGUACGACGCAGGGUAGCAGGGGCGGCGCCUGGGGGACCACGUUCCAGCCACCCCCACCCCCCGCUACCACCGCCACUCUCUGCCUUUCGUCCCCGUCCGAUUUUAUUAGAAAUCAUUAUCCCUUUCGCAAUGAAUCGUAUCCACCAAAACAGGACCAGCAAAGUCACUCCAGGAUUUUUUUUUUCCCCAACUGAAGAUCGCCUCCGCUCGUGGCUGUCCCCCCCGCCCUCCCCCGGGUUGCAGCGCCCUGAGAGUUUUUUAUUAGCUUCGCGCUUCCCCCCACCCCCACCCCCUAGCCCUCCAGGUUGGAGAUUCUGCCAACCGGCCCCGGUGGCUCGGUAGGGGUUUGCGAUCUCUUUUAAUUGCUACGUGUAAAAUAAAAGUUGUACCCUGAAGAGAUUCACUCGACAGCUCCGGGGGGGGGGGGUUUAAAUGAUCUUUCCCUCCCGCUGGCGUGAAGCUGGGGCGGACUGACGAGUCACCGGGGUGUCUGGGCCGUGAGGUUUCCCAGGUGCGGCGUGGACAUGAGCGCGCGCGGGUGGGGGUGCACAGCUCCUUCUGGAGUGAGCCAAAAACACGCAGGUCCGUGAGCGCCCGCGACCCUCCGGUUCCGUGUCAGCCGUGCAUCCAAAUAAAUCACUGGGAACCAACCCUUCCUGUGUUAAUCGGCUCCGCUUUUCCCAAGAUUCUCCUUUUUAAUUAAAAAAGGACGCGAUCCUUCAUGAUUUGAUGUUGCUAACGCCGGCGCGUUGGAGACGCAAUGGCUAGCUGGUGAAGAACCUGAAGGCGGGGACACCCCCGUA
Molecule: long non-coding RNA, 1914 nt
Organism: Meriones unguiculatus (Mongolian gerbil)
Lineage: Eukaryota; Metazoa; Chordata; Mammalia; Rodentia; Muridae
Exons: 3
Source: RefSeq, a predicted model, not a curated record